This 200-nucleotide unclassified non-coding RNA is filed under the name Hevea brasiliensis (rubber tree). Lineage: Eukaryota; Viridiplantae; Streptophyta; Magnoliopsida; Malpighiales; Euphorbiaceae. The record is from RNAcentral.
AGUUUUAUUGCAUGGAGAAAGGAGUCUUUCAUGGUCUCAGAGGAAGUACCAAAAGGGUAUUCAGCUGUUCCAAAACCUAAGAGAGGAAUGGUUUUGUCACUUGAAACUAGGACCGUCACUGGAAUGCUCCCCAUUUUCUCUAGCCUAGCCUAGUUUCCUAUUCGUUCCUUUUCUUUGCUUGUGUAUUUAUGCUGAGAAAC